UUUGACCUCAAAUCAGGUAGAACUACCCGCUGAACUUAAGCAUAUCAAUAAGCGGAGGA
Molecule: ribosomal RNA, 59 nt
Filed under: Candida albicans
Lineage: Eukaryota; Fungi; Ascomycota; Pichiomycetes; Serinales; Debaryomycetaceae
Description: partial 28S ribosomal RNA
Rfam family: Eukaryotic large subunit ribosomal RNA
Source: RNAcentral